UUUAAAGGAGAAGCAUCCCCCCCCCCUUUUUUUUAGGUUUUCCCCGUCAAAAAAACUGGCCCGGGGGGCUUGCGGCAGCUACACCUGCAAAGUGGGGCGGUAGCACAGAGAGUUUUUUCUUGGGUGAACGGGGGGCGGAGGGGUGAGUAAUUUUUGGGAAACUGCCUUGAUGGAGGGGGAUAAUUUUUGGAAACGGUGGCUUAAUCCCGCCUAAAUUUGCGCAAGACCAAAGUGGGGGGACCUUUGGGCCUCCAUGCCUUCAGAUGUGGCCCCAGAUGGGAUUAGCUUUUAGGUGGGGUAACGGUUCACCUUAGGCGACGAUCCCUAGCUGGUUUGGAGAGGAUGACCCAGCCCCACUGGAAUUGGGACACGGUCCAGAUUCCUACGGGAGGCAGCAGUGGGGAAUAUUGCACAAUGGGCGCAAGCCUGAUGCAGCCAUGCCGCGUGUGUUGAAGAAGGCCUUCGGGUUGUAAAGCACUUUCAGCGGGGAGGAAGGCGUUAAGGUUAAUAACCUUGUCGAUUGACGUUACCCGCAGAAGAAGCACCGGCUAACUCCGUGCCAGCAGCCGCGGUAAUACGGAGGGUGCAAGCGUUAAUCGGAAUUACUGGGCGUAAAGCGCACGCAGGCGGUCUGUCAAGUCGGAUGUGAAAUCCCCGGGCUCAACCUGGGAACUGCAUUCGAAACUGGCAGGCUAGAGUCUUGUAGAGGGGGGUAGAAUUCCAGGUGUAGCGGUGAAAUGCGUAGAGAUCUGGAGGAAUACCGGUGGCGAAGGCGGCCCCCUGGACAAAGACUGACGCUCAGGUGCGAAAGCGUGGGGAGCAAACAGGAUUAGAUACCCUGGUAGUCCACGCCGUAAACGAUGUCGAUUUGGAGGUUGUGCCCUUGAGGCGUGGCUUCCGGAGCUAACGCGUUAAAUCGACCGCCUGGGGAGUACGGCCGCAAGGUUAAAACUCAAAUGAAUUGACGGGGGCCCGCACAAGCGGUGGAGCAUGUGGUUUAAUUCGAUGCAACGCGAAGAACCUUACCUGGUCUUGACAUCCACAGAACUUUCCAGAGAUGGAUUGGUGCCUUCGGGAACUGUGAGACAGGUGCUGCAUGGCUGUCGUCAGCUCGUGUUGUGAAAUGUUGGGUUAAGUCCCGCAACGAGCCGCAACCCUUAUCCUUUGUUGCCAGCGGUUCGGCCGGGAACUCAAAGGAGACUGCCAGUGAUAAACUGGAGGAAGGUGGGGAUGACGUCAAGUCCUCCUGGCCCUUACGACCAGGGCUACCACACUUUUUACAAUGGGCAUAUACAAAGAGAAGCGACCUCGCGAGAGACAAGCGGACCUCAUAAAGUAUGUCGUAUUCCGGAUUGGAAUUCUGCACCUCGACUCCCUGAAAGUCGGAAUCGCUGGUAAUCCCGUAGAUCAGAAUUUCUCCGGUGAAUACUUUCCCGGGCCUUUUACACACCGCCCGUCACACCCUGGGAGUGGGUUUGCAAAAGAAGUAGGUGGUUUUACCUUUCGGGAGGGCGCUUCCCCCUUUUUUUUUCCCGUGGGGAAAUUUAA
Molecule: ribosomal RNA, 1548 nt
Filed under: Klebsiella pneumoniae
Lineage: Bacteria; Pseudomonadati; Pseudomonadota; Gammaproteobacteria; Enterobacterales; Enterobacteriaceae
Description: bacterial SSU rRNA
Rfam family: Bacterial small subunit ribosomal RNA
Source: RNAcentral